CAUGCAAGUCGAACGGCAUUGCGGGGCAACCUGGCGGCGAGUGGCGAACGGGUGAGUAAUAUAUCGGAACGUGCCCUGGAGUGGGGGAUAACGCAGCGAAAGUUGCGCUAAUACCGCAUACGAUCUAAGGAUGAAAGCAGGGGACCGCAAGGCCUUGUGCUCCUGGAGCGGCCGAUAUCUGAUUAGCUAGUUGGUGGGGUAAAGGCCUACCAAGGCAUCGAUCAGUAGCUGGUCUGAGAGGACGACCAGCCACACUGGAACUGAGACACGGUCCAGACUCCUACGGGAGGCAGCAGUGGGGAAUUUUGGACAAUGGGCGCAAGCCUGAUCCAGCAAUGCCGCGUGAGUGAAGAAGGCCUUCGGGUUGUAAAGCUCUUUUGUCAGGGAAGAAACGGUGGGGGCUAAUAUCCCCUGCUAAUGACGGUACCUGAAGAAUAAGCACCGGCUAACUACGUGCCAGCAGCCGCGGUAAUACGUAGGGUGCAAGCGUUAAUCGGAAUUACUGGGCGUAAAGCGUGCGCAGGCGGUUUUGUAAGUCUGUCGUGAAAUCCCCGGGCUCAACCCGGGAAUUGCGA
RNAcentral lists this ribosomal RNA (575 nucleotides) under uncultured bacterium. Its description in RNAcentral is "bacterial SSU rRNA". It matches the Rfam family "Bacterial small subunit ribosomal RNA", at positions 54 to 626 of the family's 1533-position model. The record is from RNAcentral.